ACAAAGGCUCUUUUCAGAGCCACCCACCUUUUUCCAUAAAAUGAGCU
Molecule: regulatory RNA element, 47 nt
Organism: Neotoma lepida (desert woodrat)
Lineage: Eukaryota; Metazoa; Chordata; Mammalia; Rodentia; Cricetidae
Rfam family: Histone 3' UTR stem-loop
About the family: The mRNAs of metazoan histone genes lack a poly-A tail. 3' end processing occurs at a site between a highly conserved stem-loop (modelled by this family) and a purine rich region around 20 nts downstream (the histone downstream element, or HDE).
Source: Rfam